Brachypodium distachyon (stiff brome) is the source of this 1397-nucleotide long non-coding RNA. RefSeq lists it as uncharacterized. The record is from RefSeq and is a predicted model, not a curated record. Lineage: Eukaryota; Viridiplantae; Streptophyta; Magnoliopsida; Poales; Poaceae. The transcript is spliced from 2 exons.
UAACUGCUAUCUCCACGACUCCGCCAUCAUUUAAAAUGCACCUAAAACUGAAAAACUGAAGAAGGUAUUUGAACAGUCCAAAAUCUCCAUGACUGAGGUAGAUGAGCCGCCGCUGUGUUUUACUUUAAAAACCUAGCCAGCCGUGCUUUCGCCACAUCUGUCCGACAUGCUACCCACUUCCACCGGCCAUUGCAUCGUCGGCCACCCCUUUCAUGGCAUCGCCGUCGUCCUCCGCCCCCGUUCAGGCCACCGGUGGCUCCCCGUCCCCUACAGCGCCGCUCGCUCUCCCCCGUCCCCCACACCUACAGCGCCGCUCGCUCCGUCCCCCACACGCCGCCGCCCCAUACGAAAGCCGGUCGGCCUGCCCCAGCAGAGGAGGAAUGCGUUGGGGCGUUGCUCCCCUGCCUCCUGCUCGGGCCGACACGCCAACGGGCGGAGCUGCCGCUGCACCGCUCCUGGAUUAGCCUCGAUGCCGCCUAUGCUGUAUAGGGAGAGAGUCAUCCUGCUUCCAUGUGACUUCUUUCGCAGCCGUCGGCUGCAGCUGAACGCAGAAAGCCUGCCUUUUGACGCUAGAGUGACAGACCGUCAAGGCAGGAUCGACCUUCAUAUGAGCCAAUCUUCAAGUCCUGAGAUAUAGAUGAUCAAGGUGAGGUACCAAUGAUUCCUUUUUAGCAUCUGAACUGUUUGUUUGUCCCUAAUUCAUUAAGUCUCUCACUAGAUUUUUGCGGAAGAGUGAUGAUGAUCAGUAGUGCUCAAGACCAAUAAAAGACCUGCACAUUGUUUUUCUGUGUAGUUGUGCACUCACCCAGAUCUAUGCAUGCAGGUGAUUCUUUCGUAAGAUUUGUGGCGACUGUUGUUGGUCUUCUGGAUUACACGUUUUUUUCAUGAGCUCUUUUACGGCGAUUGUCGAGUACUUUUCGGUACUCCUGUUAGAAUUAAUUUUGUCCAUUGAUUUAUACUUAACUAUUGGCCGUUUCUAUAUCUAUAUCUAUUCCUAAAAUCGCCAACCAUUGUAAAACUUGUAUUUUUUUUUCAUACCUGUACAAAUUCUCCAAGGGUAUUUCAUUAAUUGGAGUUGUUCUCACCCUACAUUGCGUGUUGACAUUUACACCUUGCGAGUUGUUUGCAGUGAAGAUUAUAGAGACAAGCCAUGCAACAAGAAGAUAUGCAUGUGUGUAUCACUGCGACAUCUAGCAAAAGUUUGGGCUGCAGUUAAAUUAUCUAACGAGGGGUUCUAUAUAUUCAUAUUAGGGAACUGUAUUUAUGUAUAGACAAUCCUUGUGUUUUGGCAUUGGUGGAUAGUUGAAUAAACUAUGGAAUCCAGUGUAUGUUGUUCUAUAUACAUGUUUAAUUUCAGUUACUAUAAGCAUUUUUGGGCUUUAGGUUUUUCUGAAUGA